AGAGCUAGGUUCAAGGAGAUCAAACAAAGUUGUUUCUGACAGGUUCAACAUUAUCAAUUACCCAACUCAUUCUCAUGAUGUAGACAAUAUAUAGUAAACUAGGAUAAGACUUAAGGUGAAAAGUCUUUUAAUGAUUAUCUAAAUUUGGCAGAUUUGACCAAACAGUUUAAUCUAUAGGAUUGAACGUUUAGAAAUCACCUAUAUGAGGGCGAAGUGGAAGCCGCUUCAAAGAGAAUGUUAGUAAAGGCCUAUUCUCUAAGCUCUCAUGAAACCAAGACGUGUUCAUGGCUGAAAAGAACAAAACCGUGAGAACUAUAAA
Molecule: long non-coding RNA, 319 nt
Filed under: Capsicum annuum
Lineage: Eukaryota; Viridiplantae; Streptophyta; Magnoliopsida; Solanales; Solanaceae
Description: long non-coding RNA (CANN_LNC004142)
Source: RNAcentral